GACGAACGCUGGCGGCGUGCUUAACACAUGCAAGUCGAACGGAAAGGCCCUGCUUUUGUGGGGUGCUCGAGUGGCGAACGGGUGAGUAACACGUGAGUAACCUGCCCUUGACUUUGGGAUAACUUCAGGAAACUGGGGCUAAUACCGGAUAGGAGCUCCUGCUGCAUGGUGGGGGUUGGAAAGUUUCGGCGGUUGGGGAUGGACUCGCGGCUUAUCAGCUUGUUGGUGGGGUAGUGGCUUACCAAGGCUUUGACGGGUAGCCGGCCUGAGAGGGUGACCGGCCACAUUGGGACUGAGAUACGGCCCAGACGCCUACGGGAGGCAGCAGUGGGGAAUAUUGCACAAUGGGCGGAAGCCUGAUGCAGCAACGCCGCGUGCGGGAUGACGGCCUUCGGGUUGGAAACCGCUUUCGCCUGUGACGAAGCGUGAGUGACGGUAAUGGGGAAAGAAACACCGGCUAACUACGU
Molecule: ribosomal RNA, 467 nt
Filed under: uncultured bacterium
Lineage: Bacteria
Description: partial 16S ribosomal RNA
Rfam family: Bacterial small subunit ribosomal RNA
Source: RNAcentral